RNAcentral lists this long non-coding RNA (3879 nucleotides) under Cucumis sativus (cucumber). RNAcentral describes it as "long non-coding RNA (CSAT_LNC001487)". The record is from RNAcentral. Lineage: Eukaryota; Viridiplantae; Streptophyta; Magnoliopsida; Cucurbitales; Cucurbitaceae.
UCAAUCGAAUUCAACUUCAUUGGAUCAUGUAGGUUGCAUCUUUGUUCAUCAUCUAGGCUUCUAGUAUUACGAUUCUUAUACUUCUACAUCCCUUUGGAACUUAAUCGAGAUGAGUUCAAACAUAAAAUUAAAUAAUACAACAUGGGAGUAUUGAUUUGAGAAGUUUUUUAAAACAGUGACGUACUAAAUUUAAGAUUAAUCGAUAUAAAAAGAAGUAGAGUGGCCAUUUUAUAGAAUGAUAUUUUAAUCUAAUAAUCUAAUAAUAAAUAAUAGUCGUAGUAAUAAUAAUAAUAAUUAUUGAUAUGUUUGCACUUCAAAAGCUUCCAAAAAUAUACCUUUACAAUUUAUGGAUAAAGCUAUUAAAUGAUAUUCCCUCUCCUAUUUAACAACUCCAUCAAUAAUAAAUUUCAAAUAGUUAUGAUAAAGAAAGUAUUAAGUUAAAACACAUUGUCAUAUCAUAUAAUAAGGAGACACAACUACGUCAUCUUUUUUAUAUAAAAAAAAAAUUAAGAAUUUGAUUUAAUUUUAUUAACAAAAGGAAAUAAUGUGACAUACUUUUUAAGAAAAGAGUAAUAAUAUAUAUUUUUAUAUAUAUAAAGAUUAUUUUAAUAAUGGAUGAUCAUUAUUGCAUUGCUACUUGCCUUGGUGAUUUGGAUGUUACAACAAUGACGACGUGCAAUAUGGGACACCAUUAUUUCCCUAUUUAUUCAUUUUCUUAAUCUCUUUUACUAAUUAUUAAAAAAAAUAAAAGUUAGGCUACUUUGUAAAUUCAAUCAAUGAUUUUUAAUAAUUCUUGUAUCUAUCGUAUUCAUAAGUUAGGGAAACAAAAUUAAUUUUUUUACCGUAAAAUUUUCCAAACUAAUAAUUAUAAGCAUUACAACGUCCAACUUUCAACCUCAAUUUAUCCUGAGGAUCAUAAUUUUUUUAAUUGAUUUCGAAUUUAUGUCGGAUGGUAACAUUUUAGAAUCUAUCUACCGGUACACUUCUUAUAAAAAAAAUGUAUUGUUUAAAAUUUUUGUUAUAUAUUAUAAAUAUUUUUUUUUAUUUGAGCGUAUAUUUAAAAGUAAAUCUAGUUAAAAGAUAGAAUAUAUUAAUUGAUCUUUAUUAGGAUUUAAUUAGUUUAGGAGUGUAGUAUGAUAUUUUUUAACAAGACAAAAGAUAGUCUCUCUCCAAUCUUUGUGUGAUCCUCAAACCUAUCUGUUAAAAAUACAUAAUGGUGUGCAUGCUCAUCACUUGAGUUGGAAUAACAUUAUUAAAUUUUAAUUUUCAAUCUUCAUUAAUAUUUGUUUUAUAGAAAUAUUGAACUUGAAUCGCUUUAUUUUAUUUUAAAUAUGUACGUAAAUAAUUAAAUAUAUAAGUUUAAUUUAGAGUGAGGUAUAAUUGUAACUUUUUAGGAAUUAUUUUGACCAACUUUCAAUCUUCAAUGUUUGAAACUUUUAUGUCUUGUACUUAACUACUGUACAAAUUAAUUUAAUUUAUGUUUGUAACUUUGUAUGACUUUUAUUUAUGGAUAAUGUUUAUAAAAGAGUUUGAUUCUAAUAUUUAUGCAUAAACGAUUCUGUUUCGAUUCCAUUUUAUUUGUACAUAAGUGGAUUUAAUUUCUAUUUGAUUUGACACAGAUGAAUGGUUUUUUGUAUUUUUUGGUUCGGUGCAGUUUUGGCUUCAAACGAACAAUGAACGUCUCUAAUUGCUGAUAUGUUGUAUUAUUUAUCGACUACGAGAAUUGAAUCUAAAUUUUGUUAUAUGUGCAAAUUCAAAUUUACUUUUGCAGUGGGUUAUAUUUGCUAAUAUUUUGUGUUAAUUGCUAUGUUUGCAACUUCUUUUUUUUAGUGAUCUCUUUCUCUCAUGUUCGUUGAUGCUAAACUAUUUUAACACACUCUCUUGUGUAAAUAUAAAAAGAAGUGUGAGGUCUUCGCUAUUUUUUCAACUUCUUAUCCUCUAAAUGGUUUUCUAUGUUUGUUUUAGGGGAUGUAAUAUAUUUUAGUUUGUCCGUCUUUCGUUAUUUUUUUAGUAUCUUUUGGUUUACUUAUAUUUCAACAGGAAGGGAGAAAUACAAAUUAUCGAAAAUAACCAAUUUGAAUAUAAUUGAGUGAAUAAGAUAUCAAUCAAUAUCAUUUCAAAUCGAUUACCUAUCUCAAAUUUGUAGAAAAGAAAAAUUGAAGAAGACAAAAUCAAUAACUAAUUUUGUAAUUUUUAAAAAAUAGAAUUAAGGGUGAGCAUGAUAACCAAAAAAAUCAACCAAUUCUAAGUUGGUCGAUUGGGAUCAGUUUUGAAAAGUCUGAAAUCGAAAAUUUUCAAAAAGUAUUUUUAAGUGUUAAACCGACCCAACCAAACAAAAAUCGACAAAAACCAACCGACCUUUACUCAUGAAUAUCGAGGUUGGUUUGAACAUUUAAUUAAACCAAUUAUGGUUAGUUCGGUGACGAUUUUGUCAAAAAAAAAAAAAACAACCCCGACCGAUAAUCACCUAGAUUAUAUGUAUAAGAAUGUUUUAUUUAGGUAACCAAUGCCACGUAGGUUGAGAAUAAAAUUUGUCUUGUCUUGAUUCUUGUUGGAAAAGCCACCAUUUUAUUUAUGUAAUUUUUUUUUUAAUUAAUGGUUAUUCUCAUUAUUUUAUUGCAUAGAUAUUCUCAAACUUCUUUCCUUAGGCCUCCAAGUGGCAUCAUUUUGUGCUUCCAUGACUUUCUCUCUCUAAUAUUUGACUUAGUUUCAUGAGAGAGAUACUUUGUAAUUACUUUCUUACCCUUCCUCCUUUAUUAUUGUUCCUACUCAUUCUUUAACCCUCAAAACAUAACUCUUUUUUGCCUUAACCUCACUUUUUCUCUACAAAAGUAUGAAUUAUUCAUUGGCAAAAGUGGAGUCAUAUAAUCAUUAUAAUUUGGCCAAUUUUGUUAGUACAACCCUAUUAUAAUUACCCUUAACUUCAACCUUUUAUCUACUAUCAAUAUGUUAUCGGAAAACAAAGAUUCUUUUUCUUCCAUGAAGUCAACUAGAAAGAAGAGUUUCAAUCUAUUAUUGAAAGUAGUUGGUUUAAAACUAUUGAUUUUGGUUACUUCAACUUUCUUCUAUGGAAUAUGAAUACAUUUGAUCCAUAAAAAAUGUUAAUUUUUAAUCAUCAUUGUUUGAUUUUUUGUAUACCAAUACAUCGGUUUGACUUUUCUUUUCCAUAAGAACUGUAGUCAUAUUUGUUGUUUUUCUAGAAUGAAUCUCUAUUUUAUUGAUAAUUUAGUAGGGGUAUAAACCUAAAUAUACUCACGAGAGGAAUAUACUUAAGAAAAGAAUACUUCAAUACCCUCCCUCAAACUCAAGGUUCGAAUCACGAACUUGAGUUUGCUAAUAACUAAGAAAACUAGAAUAGAAUUAGAAACGCUGAGAGAACAAACAUAAAGAAACUAAAACAAAACUUAAGCAAAAUUGAUAUGAGCGAAACUGACCUAGAGGGUUAGUGGGUCUGAGCGUCGACGACAGUAUGAGUUUCACGGAUCUGGAUUGACAGGAGACAGACAGAUAGAUGGAACGACGUCGUCAUUCAUUGACGAGCGGUGGUUCUGAAGGUCAAAAGAGCAAAGAUGCAAAUAUGUGAGGGGAUUCGUUUGUAGAUCUAAACUGGUACAGAUCAGAUGUGAGCGAAGAUGCGACAAAUAUGUGGAUCGAAAGGGCAACGGCGGAUUGGAGGGGCGACAACAAAUCUGAGAAAAGAAGAAGCGGCGACGAGUUGUAGAUUUAAAGGCGUGGAUGGCAGAUCUGACGGCAUAAGGUUUUUGAAACAUAUGGACAAUGACUAUACAAUAGAAAAUUCAGGAUGGUUUGCUUCCAUCAACGAAUGAUCAACUAAGGCAGACAAACGGGAUGCAAUGGCUAGACUACAAUGAGACCAAG